RNAcentral lists this ribosomal RNA (366 nucleotides) under uncultured bacterium. RNAcentral describes it as "bacterial SSU rRNA". It matches the Rfam family "Bacterial small subunit ribosomal RNA", at positions 1 to 334 of the family's 1533-position model. The record is from RNAcentral.
CUAGCGACUUCAGAGUUUGAUCCUGGCUCAGGAUGAACGCUGGCGGCGUGCUUAACACAUGCAAGUCGAACGGAGUUUUAUCAAUUGAUUGAUUAAGCUUGCUUUUGAGAGAUUUUGAUAAAACUUAGUGGCGGACGGGUGAGUAACGCGUGGGUAACCUGCCGUAUACAGGGGGACAACAGUUGGAAACGACUGCUAAUACCGCAUAAGCGCACGGUACCGCAUGGUACAGUGUGAAAAACUCCGGUGGUAUACGAUGGACCCGCGUCUGAUUAGCUAGUUGGUGAGGUAACGGCCCACCAAGGCGACGAUCAGUAGCCGGCCUGAGAGGGUGGACGGCCACAUUGGGACUGAGACACGGCCCAA